UGGGGAAUUUUGCACAAUGGGGGAAACCCUGAUGCAGCGACGCCGCGUGAUUUAGAAGGCCUUCGGGUUGUAAAAAUCUUUUCUAUGGGAAGAAAAUGACAGUACCAUAGGAAUAAGGACCGGCUAAUUACGUGCCAGCAGCCGCGGUAAUACGUAAGGUCCGAGCGUUGUCCGGAAUCAUUGGGCGUAAAGGGUACGUAGGCGGGUAAGCAAGUUAGAAGUGAAAUCCUAUAGCUCAACUAUAGUAAGCUUUUAAAACUGCUCAUCUUGAGGUAUGGAAGGGAAAGUGGAAUUCCUAGUGUAGCGGUGAAAUGCGCAGAUAUUAGGAGGAAUACCGGUGGCGAAGGCGACUUUCUGGCCAUAACCUGACGCUGAGGUACUAAAGCGUGGGUAGCAAACAGG
Molecule: ribosomal RNA, 402 nt
Filed under: bacterium
Lineage: Bacteria
Description: partial 16S ribosomal RNA
Rfam family: Bacterial small subunit ribosomal RNA
Source: RNAcentral